This is a long non-coding RNA of Saccostrea cuccullata (small rock oyster), 662 nucleotides long. RefSeq lists it as uncharacterized. The record is from RefSeq and is a predicted model, not a curated record. The transcript has 3 exons. Lineage: Eukaryota; Metazoa; Mollusca; Bivalvia; Ostreida; Ostreidae.
CGUAUCACAAUUCUUUCGCGCCAGAUUGUCACUGUAUUCUAGUAAGGAGCAUAGAAAUAUAUCAAGACUGCCUGUGCUCGUGGUAAAAAUUAGUGAUCAGGAAGGAAGAGUUAUAAUGUAAAACACUGUUAUCAAUCUUACAUGGGGAACGAUCUUCAAACUAAUGGAAGAAAUGAGUUUACUGUUUAUUCGAAAGACAGAUUCGAUCGUUGAAAUACGUUUACUUGAAAACCAACAAGCCCAAUUCAUUUUUGCAGACAAUGCUGAUAUCGAUGUUUCAGAAAUAUCUACUACGCUUUAAAAUGUAUGGUCAAGACACAGAUUAUAGAAAAACAGGGAUUGUUGAGGGAAGUGUUUAAGACCCAGACAGUUCGAGAUAUCAUUGUUUGUGGUUUAAACAUAGAUCUGUCAACACUCUACAGUGAUAGAAAAGGAGAAGCUAUUAAUUAGUUUAAAAGAGAAUCAUUAGUACCGGUAUACCUGGUACCAGACGACACAGAGGAUCCAGCAAUAGUUGUAAAGGAGGCCACAAACUGCACAGUUAUUUUUCAACUACUUUAAAGCACUACCUUCCACCUGUGUGUCCAUUGCUGAAGUACUGAAAAUCUUCUGGAUGAUAUACACCCUUAUAUUUCUGUUUUUUAUGAACAUUAUUCAAUUAU